Molecule: long non-coding RNA, 990 nt
Organism: Pecten maximus
Lineage: Eukaryota; Metazoa; Mollusca; Bivalvia; Pectinida; Pectinidae
Exons: 2
Source: RefSeq, a predicted model, not a curated record
AGUUUUCUUCUGAACACAUGCAUCUGCAGAAAGUAAAGUGUCUACUUUUUGACUGGUAUCAUAUAUUUAUUUUUAUUUUUCCCUCAGUCUAAUCCAGACAUUUAAUAAAAUAACAGACUAAUAUCUAUUCCUUUUAAUGGGUUAACUAUUUUCAAAACUUCUUUUUCUUUCAGUAUUAAAUUCACUUUACAAACUUUUGCUGUCUGUGUUCAUACAUUUCAGCUUUAAUAUAAAAUUUGAGCCGAACUUAUCAAGAGGAAGAAAUGGAUUCCCAUUCACAGUAUGUAAAUCUUGUGUUGUGUUCAGAAAGAAAAUUAAAUACUUUAUAUGAUAUCUACCCCAAUAAAUGUAACUCUACAUUACUUCUAUAAAUAAUCGGACCACAAGAACCAGUCAUGUUGACCUUUUAUUACCUCACUAAUUACAGGUAAUAUUCAUAAAAAGAUUCGAUAAGAUUACAUCUGUUACAGAUUUAUUAUGUAAAUGUGGAUUUUCAUUGGUCAAAAUAGUGUAUUAUGUCACCAAUCUUUUUCUAUGUUCUUUGUCAACAUGAGAGAUAAAUAUUUUGGUCAGACUAUAUAUAUUAAUGAUUAUUUUUACAUCAUGUAUAAUGAAACAUCAAGGAAAAUACAAUCAGGGCAUUGGUGAUACAAAUACUUGUGAAGUAAAAAGGUCCUGAAAGCAUUCUUUGUUCCAUAGACAAACAAAUCAAGAGACAAAUUUAGUGUAUUCAUUUAUGUACCAACCUCGCUUUCUGUACCCUAUACUAUAUACCGAUGUUGGGUUACAGGUGAGGUACACCCUAGAGUCAUGGGUAACUGACCAAUCACAGCCAAGGUACACCCUAGAGUCAUGGGUAACUGACCAAUCACUGCUGAGGUACACCCUAGAGUCAUAGGUAACUGACCAAUCACAGCCAAGGUACACCCUAGAGUCAUGGGUAACUGACCAAUCACAGCCAAGGUACACCCUAGAGUCAUGGGUAACUGA